UUAAAUUGAAGAGUUUGAUCAUGGCUCAGAUUGAACGCUGGCGGCAGGCCUAACACAUGCAAGUCGAACGGUAACAGAAGUCAGCUUGCUGAUUUGCUGACGAG
This 104-nucleotide ribosomal RNA is filed under the name Escherichia coli. RNAcentral describes it as "partial 16S ribosomal RNA". It matches the Rfam family "Bacterial small subunit ribosomal RNA", at positions 1 to 102 of the family's 1533-position model. Lineage: Bacteria; Pseudomonadati; Pseudomonadota; Gammaproteobacteria; Enterobacterales; Enterobacteriaceae. The record is from RNAcentral.